Molecule: ribosomal RNA, 373 nt
Filed under: uncultured organism
Description: bacterial SSU rRNA
Rfam family: Bacterial small subunit ribosomal RNA
Source: RNAcentral
CAGAGGGCGCAAGCGUUGUUCGGAAUUACUGGGCGUAAAGCGCGCGUAGGCGGAUCUGUUUGUCCGUAAGUGAAAUCCCGCCGCUCAACGGCGGGGCUGCUUGGGAAACGGCAGGUCUGGGGACCGGUAGAGGUCGGUAGAAUUCCCGGUGUAGCGGUGGAAUGCGUAGAGAUCGGGAAGAAUACCCGUGGCGAAGGCGGCCGACUGGGCCGGAUCCGACGCUAAUGCGCGAAAGCGUGGGGAGCAAACAGGAUUAGAUACCCUGGUAGUCCACGCCGUAAACGAUGGGCACUAGGUGCCGGGGGGAGCGACCCCUUCGGUGCCGCAGCUAACGCGUUAAGUGCCCCGCCUGGGGAGUACGGCCGCAAGGCUG